AGUAGUGGUGUACAGGUGAGUAAAAGAUAAUUUGGCUACCUUAAAGUAAGGGAAAAAAUCCCUUAUAAAAAUAAAGGAAAAUAAAAAGUCCGCUUUAAGAUGUUAAUCUUUAUCUCGGAGAGUAGUAGGAAAGGUAAUGACUUUUCUAGCUAAAUUCCGUAGUCGUGACUGAGAGGUCGAUCGACCACAUUGGGUCUGAAAAAACCCCAAUGCGUAUUAGUACAGCAGUGAGGAAUAUUGGUCAAUGGCCGAAAGGCUGAACCAGUAACUUGGAAGAAUGUAAGUGUAUUAUAGUAAUACAGUAACGAUUAACUCGUAUAAAAUUCUAAAUAGGAUAAUGAUAAUGACAAUUUCCUAUUUAUAAGUCUUGACCAAAUUACGUGCCAGCAGUCGCGGUAAUACGUAGAAGACUAGUGUUAGUCAUCUUUAUUAGGUUUAAAGGGUACCUAGACGGUAAAUUAAACUCUAAAUGAGUACUUUUUUACUAGAGUUUUAUGAGAGAAGGAAGAAUUUCUGGAGUAGUGAUGAAAUACAUUGAUACCAGAAGGACUGGUAACGGCGAAGGCAUCCUUCUAUGUAAAAACUGACGUUGAGGGACGAAGGCUUGGGUAGCAAUAAGGAUUAGAUACCCUAGUAGUCCAAGCAGAAAAUGAUGAAUGUCAUAGGCUAGAUAAUAUUUAGUCUAUAAAUGAAAGUGUAAGCAUUCCACCUCAAGAGUAAUAUGGCAACAUAUAAACUGAAAUCAUUAGACCGUUUCUGAAACCAGUAGUGAAGUAUGUUAUUUAAUUCGAUGAUCCGCGAAAAACCUUACCACAGUUUGAAUAACAUUAAAUUGUUACAAGCGCUGCACGGCUGUCUUUAGUUAAUGUCGUGAGAUUUGGUUAACUCCUCUAAUUAACGAAAACCCUCACUUUAUUUGUAUACAUAAAGUGGUUCGCCGCUACAUUGGACCAGAUAAUAGGGAUUAAGACAAGUCAUCAUGGCCUAAAUACUGUGGGCUAUAGACGUGCCACAUACGCCUUAACAAAGGGAUGCGAUAUUGUGAAAUGGAGCUAAUCCCCAAAGUUGGAUAUAAUAUGGAUUGUAGUCUGUAACUCGACUACAUGAAUAAGGAAUUACUAGUAAUCGUGAAUCACCAUCGUCA
Molecule: ribosomal RNA, 1144 nt
Filed under: Aspergillus fumigatus
Lineage: Eukaryota; Fungi; Ascomycota; Eurotiomycetes; Eurotiales; Aspergillaceae
Description: SSU rRNA
Rfam family: Bacterial small subunit ribosomal RNA
Source: RNAcentral